AUUUUAAAGCAACAGUGUGCACGAUUUAGGGAUGUUUAUGCAGCAUAAAUGGAUUAUAGCAUUCAUAGCCAUCUAUGCAUAUUGCAACAUC
This is a long non-coding RNA of Thalassophryne amazonica, 91 nucleotides long. RefSeq lists it as uncharacterized. The record is from RefSeq and is a predicted model, not a curated record. The transcript is spliced from 3 exons. Lineage: Eukaryota; Metazoa; Chordata; Actinopteri; Batrachoidiformes; Batrachoididae.